RNAcentral lists this long non-coding RNA (3682 nucleotides) under Triticum aestivum (bread wheat). RNAcentral describes it as "long non-coding RNA (TAES_LNC003418)". Lineage: Eukaryota; Viridiplantae; Streptophyta; Magnoliopsida; Poales; Poaceae. The record is from RNAcentral.
CUCCAGCCGCCACUGCCCCACCCAUGUUUCUCCUCGCGCGCUCGCCCCAGACCAGCCGCCGCCGCGCCGCUGGGGCUCGUCCGCCACGGGUUUCCAUGGGGAAGGAGCAGCGACGGGGUAGGCUCCAGGCGGCACACACUUCAUGGGGAGGCAAGGAACCAGAAGGUGAUGGGGUCGGAUCUGGCGGUGGUAGGUCGAAGCUCGAUCCCGAGGCCUAGACGGGGAAGGUUAAAAAAUAGAGAGACCGGAUGGAGGUGGUCGAGGCGGAGGACCGCCAGCCGGUGAGCUCGAGCUUGAGACGGUGAGAUCCCUUUCCCCAUCUCUAUUCUCUCAGUUUCUUCCUCUCCAAAUCUUCAUUUAUCGCCUCUCGCCCUUAGCACAAUUAGCGUCACCGGCCAUUGUAUGGGUUGGAGCACGAGGCAGCGCUCCCGUCACUACGUGGUGGAGCUGCGUAGGAUGGGGAGCAGGCUGGCAACAGGGAUUGGUUCUUCAGUUCAUUUGCUGCAGGACAGAAUGUUCUAUGGGUUGGAGCAGAGGGUGUUGAGCAACAUCUGAGAUUGGGUGAGUGCUCAGGUUCUAUAACUGACUUUUCUUCAAGUAUGGCUGUAGUAAUUCAAAGAAAAACAAAUAGCAUGCAGAUUUGCUUGUUUCAUCUAAAUCAAGGAAUUUUAUAAUGUGCAAAUCAACACUAUAUAGUAUACAACAGCGAACGGAGAUACUAACCACACGAUCUCAUUACGUGUUGCACGCGAGAUCGCAGGGUGCAGCUUGGUAGCGCCGGCAUGGAUGCGUGUUAACCAUAGCGUUGAAGGCAAUCUUCCCCCUCCCGAAAUGCCCUAGGCGCAGCAGCGAUGGCGCAGCCAUGAUUGCUGGAAGUCUCCUCCAUGUUCGAUCUCGAUAAACUGACUGUCGUUCCCCACGCCACUCUCGCAUGAUUCAAUGGAACUUAAAUUUUGAGUGCUACAAUCAACCCGUUUGCCUGUUUGCACAUCUGUAUUUCGGUUAUAAAAAUUGACUCAUUCUUUAGUUCGUUAUUACUCAGGUCACCGCAGCACUGACCUUCUAUUAGGUAUACACACACCAAAAUUUCCAUGCCACUAGAAAUAUUUGCAUUCUUUUAAUGGGUCGAGUCACACAGAAGGUUGAACUUUCAAUGCUUUUUACUCAGCAUAGACGUAUUUUCUGUAGUCGAAGACUUUUGACAAUGUGUGGAAUCUGGCAAAUCAUUUUCAGUUUUGAGUUCAUCUGAGUCAGGCUCUGUAUCAAAUUGUCUUCAGUGUAGCAUUCACUUGAGUUGGAUUUUGUAUUGGUUUAUAUUUUGUGGUAGAAUAUCCCAUAUUGUGUACUCUGGGACCAGGUCUAUUUCAACACACACGAACCCAUUGACCUCCCAUGUUCCUGGGGAGCGUUGCAUGUCGGAAAAGUUAGGGGUUGCGUCACACAAAGUUCUGCAUUGACACUUGGAAAGUAAGUGAAGUGAUAUGCCAUUUGCUGAGGCUAUCUACAAUCCUGUUAAAAGGCAACUGCUAAACACUGAAGGGCAAUGGAAUUCAAUUUGUAGAUAUUCGCAGUUUGAUAAAUUAUAUUAGUGGUAUUUCUUGUAUUUAUAUAAGGAAAACAAAAAUAGCUACCUUUGUGUGAAUUACAGUGCUAAUGAUCAGUUCUUUGUCUCAGGCAUGAAUGUACAGAUUCAAGAUUUCCUUUCACCUAGGCUUGGUCAGUUGGCCACUUCAAUUCCCACUUCUUGUCAUGUGAUCUUGAUGUGGAUACUUCGACAUUACAUACAAAAUAUGACGCAUUCUGUAGAAGUUACUAAUGGUCAAAAUUUUACUGAAUCCGUCACUUGCUUACUCCUAUUCACAUUUCAGCCUCCUUGCAUGGUAGAGCAUAACAUGGUUCCUGAUGUUCCAUUCUAACUACCUAAUAAUUUUAGGACACUGGUGUUGGUUUUUGGGGAAAUGGAAUGCCUAAGAUGCACUGUCCUUUUGUUCCAAAAAUAACCGCAAAAUCAUUGACACAUUGUUGUGUGGUUUAUGACAUCUGUUGUUUAUAUCUUCGAGUGACUAACUUCAAGUUGAAGUCGAGAUUGCUUACUGAUCACAUGCUUUAGGCAGUAGUAAUUACAAUCUUUAUCUCUGUUUGAGAAGCAAAGAUGAAUUAUUUUGAACUUCGGAUUAGUUGAGUUAGGAGCUAUAUGUACCAGUUUUGUUUGAUCAACCACGAGUUCUAUUGUAAUCCUUUUUGAUACAUUUUUUAGAUUUUUGUAUCCAGCUGAAUCUUCGUGUUCCGCCGUGGCCGUGAUAUCUCAUGCGUUAUCAUGCAGCUGAAUCUUUAUUUACAAUGUCGUAAUAUCUCAUGCGUUAUCAUUCAUUCAUUCUUAUUUUAGGUGAUGCGUUGACCUGAACGGCAUGGUGGUAAGGCAUCAUAAUAGGUGCUACUAUUGGCUAGAAUGGCGCCGUGGUAAGGCAUUCUAAGGUUCCAUAUGAUUAGUGUUUGGGUGACUGUUGUUGAUUCCUACACCGAGUUGUGUUGCUGUACAAAUAGCCUCUCUUGUUGGUGGUGCCACGGUGUCCCUUCCAGGUUAGCAGCAACCCUUUUACCCAUCAUUCCCAUAUUUUUUUCUUAACUUACAUACUGAGCUGUAGGUUUGUCGGACCUGUUGCAUAAGGCAGAACAAGAAUAAGAACAUUUGUCAGUUUUUUCAUGUGCAGGUUUAGCAGCGGGCAAUGCUUAAGACAGAGUUGGGUGCACAUCAUAUAUAUACAUAUGUUGUCGCGUCUUAAUAAAGGGAGAUGAGCAGAAGUAGAGAUGAGAUAUCUAUCUGACUGUCAUCCUUCCAAGACUUGGGUUUGUCAUCUCUGUCAGCGUCCGCUUUUGCUUCCUUCGUUGGUUGUCGCUUCUUUGUACACUGCUGUAGUUUAGAGAUUGUAAUAUAUUUUCCAUGGAUACAAUUGAAUAUGACACCCAAUUUGCUAUAUAAUUGUCCAGCUCUCUCUCAUAGCGAUUCAUACAAAAUAUCAUGCAUAAUGGUCCCAGUUUAAGUAGAAUAUAACCAUUGGAUUAUUCAAACUUUGCUCGUGUGUCACAGGGCACCAUAACUUUAAUCCGACAUGAGCAGUGCAACCACGACAGUGAGCAGUGGAAUCACAAGAUAGAGAUAGACACAAGUAGAAUAUAACUGGUCAUAUUUCUACAAUGACCACACUACUUAUGGUGCCGGAAGAGAAGGCAUCAGUGAUAGUGGGCUUGGUGAUGAGGGCAUCAAUACAAAGAUAUUAAUUCACAACUCUGUUCUUGAUAGGUUGUACCAAAUAUAUAAGGUUACUGUUUCCUUUUAUGUUUAAAUAGCUUUGUGAGUACAAUUAUAUGAAAAUUCUGUGAUUCAUGGUGCGGAAGCAGGCAUCUUUGUUUUCUUGAGUGAAAAUACUUAGUUUCAUGCCUCCAUAGUAUUAUUUAGAGGCACAAUCCAAUGAUAGAUUCCUACUUAUAGCUAGCUAAUAUAUAGCGUUUGAUGGUACUGUAUGAUGUUGUAAAUACAAAAUAUGCUGCAUGAGCAUUACUUUUAUUUUGAAUUUAAUUUAGUGUUUGAGCCUCUUUUACAUAUUAAGUGUAAUAUCACAGACUUCUUUCAGAGUUAACUGGCCAUGCAAAAACUGUUGUGAAGGCAUUAAAUGGUACUCCC